UUAGCAUCCUCAAUAUCUUUAUAGAUAUGUCCUUUAAAUUUUAAAAUCAAGACAAUCUUCCUUCAAUUAUGAAAGAUAAACCUAGAGUCAUCGUCUAUGCAAACAAAAUCACUAUGAGUUACAUUUGUAUGUUUUCUCAUAAGAUGGCUUAUCUUUGAAAGGGGUUACCAAUCUUUCUUUAUUUCUUAUGCAUUUGAUUAAGCAUAUGGAGGUUAAUUGACUUCAUUAUUUAUUAAUAAUUGUGAUGGCUAAUAUUGAAAGUCAGCUUGAUUGGAUUGAGGAAUACAAGGUAUUAAUCCUCGGUGUGUCUGUGUGAGUGUUGCCAAAAGAGAUUAACAUUUGAGUCAGUGGGGUGGGGAAGGCAGAUCCACCCUUCAUCUGUUGGGCACAAUCUAAUCAGCUUCCAGCGAAUAUAAAGCAGGCAGAAAAACGUGAAAAGGAGAUAUGGGCCUAGGCUCCCAGCCUACAACUUUCUCAUGUGCUGGAUCCUUCCUGCCCUGGAAUAUUGGACUCCAAGUUCUUCAGUUUUGGGACUCACACUGGCUCUUCUUGCUCCUCAGCUUGCAGACAGCCUAUUGUGGGACCUUGUGAUCGUGUUUCGUGCAACGGAUACAAGCAAUGAAAUUUCAACAGAAAUUUCCUGGGGUAGGAUGCAGAGUUCUUAGGAAAUCUUCUGUUUUCUUAUAAAAAAAUAUCUGGUCUGCUGUAAUUCACUCUGGAGUAAUGCCACUGCGACCUGCUGAUAAUGGCUGGUUGCACAACAGUUGAUCCAGAAGGACCUUGGCCAGGAUGAUUUGGCAGUGGAGCCAAAAGGAGUGCCACAAAUAUUGUUGCAGAAGUGAUACCAGAUUUGGAAUAAAAUAUUCCCCCCCCACAAAUGUUUCUCAGAUGAUGUUGUAUCAUCUUAUUUUAUCAGACUCAUCUCUGUUGUAUCAGACUCAUUGUAUCAACACAAUUGUAGAUUCACUCUCAACAUUCAUUUCAGGCAAACUAGUUUUCUUAGAGUGUCUCCAGAGUUAACAAAGAUUGUAAAGCAAUGGAAGCCAAUCAAGUCACAAUAAAGAACCCCAUUCUGAUCUGUUUGUUUAUGUAUUAAAGAGAAUAGCAUCCUCAGAAUCAUUUUUCAUUUGUGUAUAGCCAUACAAUCUAAGAAUCAAUAAAAAUUUUUGCACAUAUAUGCAAAUAUAAACUUAAUUCAUGUUGGUAAUUUUAAAUAUUGAAAUAGUAGCCUUGUAUACUAUUUUUUAGGCGUGGUCUUGUGGUUUUUGGUUGUUAGUGUUGUUUUCUCAUUUGAAUGCAGACUUUUUGUGGUUGUAUUCCCCAAUUUAUUCUUUUCUCACUUAAUGGUAAGAAGUGGGGUUUUGUGGUGAUUAUAAUUUUUUAACUAUUAAUACAAGUCUAUAUAAAAUAACUGGAAGAGCA
This 1422-nucleotide long non-coding RNA is filed under the name Homo sapiens (human). RNAcentral's name for it is "HSALNT0271917". The record is from RNAcentral. Lineage: Eukaryota; Metazoa; Chordata; Mammalia; Primates; Hominidae.